CAAUAGCAUAUAUUAACGUUGUUGCAGUUGAAAAGCUCGUAGUUGAACUUUUGGUAGGAGCGACCUGGUCUUGGUCUGUAUGGACCUUGUUUUUACCGAGUGUCGUAUCUGGCCAUCCUUCUUUGUUCUUUUAGGGCAAGGAUCAUUUACUGUGAGUAAACUGGAGUGCUCAAAACAAGACGUAUUGUUUGGUACAUUUUAGCAUGGAAUAAUAAGAUAGGACCUAGUUACUAUUUUGUUGGUUUGCAUAGCUGGGUAAUGAUGAAUAGGAACAGUCGGAGGUAUUCGUAUUUAAUUGUCAGAGGUGAAAUUCUUGGAUUUCUGAAAGACGAACCACUGCGAAAGCAUUUACCAAGGAUGUUUUCAUUAA
This 370-nucleotide ribosomal RNA is filed under the name uncultured eukaryote. RNAcentral describes it as "partial 18S ribosomal RNA". It matches the Rfam family "Eukaryotic small subunit ribosomal RNA", at positions 592 to 976 of the family's 1831-position model. The record is from RNAcentral.